CAAACAAUUGAAAUAACUGAGCAGUGUGACCGUGCUACAAACGAUAAGAAUUCCUGCCUGACAGAAAAUGGCGUUAUAUACCAUUUCAGUUUGUAGAAAUACCAAUCAUUGGAAAUGGUAUUUGACGUUACUUUUUAAAAAGCUCGAUCGAUCACCUUACAGCGCUCUUUUAUCUUUCCAAAGGACAUGACCAGAAGGACUCGGUUGUGGAAGAUUAAGUUGAGGAUACUUGUGGAAAAUCCCCGGGAAGUUGCGUCCAGAUACGUGUUGAUUGGAAAGAAGAAGACGCGGGAUUUUGGUUAGUUUAGUUUAUUCUGUAUGCAUAUUGUAUAAUUUGUGUUUUUACGGUUAUCAUACAUGAAUAAAUAUAAAUUAAAUUAUGCUCUUCAUUCACAAAGUGUGUUCUUUGCACCUCCGCUUGCAAGUUGCAACGAUUCCUCGUUUUGAGUUCGGAUUAUUUUCGUGUCUUUGGCCAAACACCAUAAAAUAUAUAUUUCAAACUCAACAUUACGCUCAACGUACAUUCAUAUGCUAUGCGCAUUUUAUUGUGGCUAAGUCAGUUUCGAUUUGGAAUUCAAAUUCAAUUUUCAAUGCUCCAAGAUGCUUUGCAUUCGCCUAGUUAAUAGAAAUAUAAUAUUCGUGUUGUGUUUUCUUUAGCUAGUUUUUGAACUCGCAAGUUCUUCAAUUCGGUUGUAUUCAGUGUAUUGUUUCGGCCGCAAUGGUUCCUAACUCUGUCCUUUGCCCAAUGUUUCAUGAUUAUUUACAGCAAUCGAGAAUACAGCAUAGUAAAAUGUUCGCUACAGUUUCCUAUAGUAGUUUUGGGGGCUGGGAAUCGUUUCCGCUGAUAGUUUCCAUUAAUAAUCUCUCACUAAUCGGUAAAUAAAUUGUUUCUUCGUAUCGUUUUCUCUUUUUUGUACAAUAGACGCGUGUUCUUUUUGUGUGUUAUCAGUCGUUUUUCAUUUACUUUACAUGAAUGUGCAGGGAAAUUAUUGUUAAGUUUUACUUGUAAAUAAUCCUCUUCUCCUCUAGUCGCGUCUCCUGCUCUACGAAAUAUAUUUGCAU
This is a long non-coding RNA of Drosophila simulans, 1062 nucleotides long. RefSeq lists it as uncharacterized. Lineage: Eukaryota; Metazoa; Arthropoda; Insecta; Diptera; Drosophilidae. The record is from RefSeq and is a predicted model, not a curated record. The transcript is spliced from 2 exons.